GAUGUGCAAGUGAAGCUUUAGAGUAUGUGGAGGAAGAUAAAGUUUAUAUCCUAGGAGGUUUAGUGGAUGAAACCAUACAAAAGAAAAUAAGCUACACGAGGGCGAAAGAGCUCGGCAUUCGCACGGCGCGGCUGCCGAUUGAUGAGUACAUGGUGAAGUGGCCAAACCCCAAAAACUUCCACUCCAAAAAUCCUAGCCAUCAACUAAGGUGAUCACUUUCUCUGACUCAGCUUUUACAUACUGCAGUCAUAAUCCUCCUCAUCCUAUGUUGAAACUGAGUGUAUAAUUUGCUGAUGUGUUUCAGUGUUUGAAAUCCUUCUGACAUUUCGGGACACUAAAGAUAGGACUAAAGCGCUUGCUGCUGGUAUCCCUCCUGGAAAAGGUUACAUGGUGGCGUCAGCAGCAUCUACAGACAUAAUAAACCCUUCAGAAGAGCUUUAGACACUCGCGGACUUUGGCUUCAUAGUGUUUAUAAGGCCUUGAGCCUGUAAUAGUGUUAUGAACUCAUCUAUAAUGG
Long non-coding RNA from Sinocyclocheilus anshuiensis, 517 nucleotides. RefSeq lists it as uncharacterized. Lineage: Eukaryota; Metazoa; Chordata; Actinopteri; Cypriniformes; Cyprinidae. The record is from RefSeq and is a predicted model, not a curated record. The transcript is spliced from 3 exons.